This 459-nucleotide long non-coding RNA is filed under the name Polistes fuscatus (common paper wasp). RNAcentral describes it as "uncharacterized LOC122515789". The record is from RNAcentral. Lineage: Eukaryota; Metazoa; Arthropoda; Insecta; Hymenoptera; Vespidae.
GGUAACAAAUUUAAUUAUUAUAUCGUAAUAUUAAUUAUUUUAAAUCAAAUAAUAACAUUUCUGAGCAAUAUUAUAACUAAAUAAUGCAAAGUAACAUCGAACACUGUUUUAAAAAUAUUGCAAACGACGUGUUUGAAAAUUUACAAAAGCCCGCCGAGUAACAGCCAAUCAGAAAGCUCGAUCAUCUUACUUAGUAAUUUCGGAUCGUGAGGUUUCGGUUAGUUUGAAUGGCGAAGAACGAUAAUGCAUUAGUUUUUUGUGUUAAAAUUUAGAAAAAAGUGUGAUUAAAAACUGAAAUAAAAGUGAAAUCAAAAGUGCGUGACUUCUAACUUGGACAGUGCAUCUUUGGCAAAAACAUUCAUCGUAAGUUUGACAACUGCAACAGAGUUGACGCGCACGUAUGCAAUCCUACUUAAAAAAAAGGAAAAAGAAAAACAAUCAAACGUACGUAUCAAAGAA